UUAGAAGAUACAAAGCCAAAUCCUCAUACGGACUUUAGCUACCCCAUCAAAACUUUGAAAAGCAAGAAGAAGCUUGGUUAGUGUUUUGGAGUCAAAUAAUACUAGAUGUCAUGUGUAAGAGUACUAUGACAACUAGAACCAUAAUCAGAUCUUAAAAACCUAAGUAUUGAAUCUUUGUUAGAAGAUACAAAGACAAACACUCAUAUGGACUUCGGCUACACUAUCAAAGCUUUGAGAAGCAAGAAGAAGCUUGGUUAGUGUUUUGGAUUCGAAUAUGACUUGAUGUCAUGUGUAUGACUGAGUAUAAAAACUUAAAUCGCAACCGGAUCUUAAAAACCUUAGUAGUGUUUCCUUGUUAGAAGAUAUAAAGCCAAAGACUCAUACGGACUUUAGCUUUACCAUCA
RNAcentral lists this small RNA (404 nucleotides) under Arabidopsis thaliana (thale cress). Its description in RNAcentral is "ATSL268650". The record is from RNAcentral. Lineage: Eukaryota; Viridiplantae; Streptophyta; Magnoliopsida; Brassicales; Brassicaceae.